GCCUAACACAUGCAAGUCGAGCGGUAGAGAGAAGCUUGCUUCUCUUGAGAGCGGCGGACGGGUGAGUAAUACCUAGGAAUCUGCCUGAUAGUGGGGGAUAACGUUCGGAAACGGACGCUAAUACCGCAUACGUCCUACGGGAGAAAGCAGGGGACCUUCGGGCCUUGCGCUAUCAGAUGAGCCUAGGUCGGAUUAGCUAGUUGGUGAGGUAAUGGCUCACCAAGGCUACGAUCCGUAACUGGUCUGAGAGGAUGAUCAGUCACACUGGAACUGAGACACGGUCCAGACUCCUACGGGAGGCAGCAGUGGGGAAUAUUGGACAAUGGGCGAAAGCCUGAUCCAGCCAUGCCGCGUGUGUGAAGAAGGUCUUCGGAUUGUAAAGCACUUUAAGUUGGGAGGAAGGGCAGUUACCUAAUACGUGAUUGUCUUGACGUUACCGACAGAAUAAGCACCGGCUAACUCUGUGCCAGCAGCCGCGGUAAUACAGAGGGUGCAAGCGUUAAUCGGAAUUACUGGGCGUAAAGCGCGCGUAGGUGGUUUGUUAAGUUGAAUGUGAAAUCCCCGGGCUCAACCUGGGAACUGCAUCCAAAACUGGCAAGCUAGAGUAUGGUAGAGGGUAGUGGAAUUUCCUGUGUAGCGGUGAAAUGCGUAGAUAUAGGAAGGAACACCAGUGGCGAAGGCGACUACCUGGACUGAUACUGACACUGAGGUGCGAAAGCG
This 720-nucleotide ribosomal RNA is filed under the name uncultured bacterium. RNAcentral describes it as "bacterial SSU rRNA". It matches the Rfam family "Bacterial small subunit ribosomal RNA", at positions 46 to 761 of the family's 1533-position model. The record is from RNAcentral.